Cyanistes caeruleus (blue tit) is the source of this 972-nucleotide long non-coding RNA. RefSeq lists it as uncharacterized. Lineage: Eukaryota; Metazoa; Chordata; Aves; Passeriformes; Paridae. The record is from RefSeq and is a predicted model, not a curated record.
AUUAACAUUGAAGGUUGCUUGAAAUCAUUAGCUAAAUGUUUACUGGCAUUUAGACAACAAGGUAGAUACUGUCAUUUUGUACUAGUGCAAAAGUAUGAUGCACUUAAAUCUUGAGUAAUUUUUAUAGUUGAUGUAGUCAUAUUUCACAAGGGCACAGACAAGUUAGAAAGGGCAUAGGGAAGGGCAAUUGAAAUGAUGAAGAGAAUGCAACGUGUCUUUUGAGAAGACAAAAAACCUGUGAGAGUGCUGUUUCAGAAGAGAAGGCAGAGAGGAAUGUAGUUGAGGUUUAUUGUGUCAUAAAGGCAGCAGGAAAGGAGAGCAGAGAACUCCUCAUCAACCCCACAGCACUGGAACUAAUGCAAGCUCAAUAGAACCAGUAGGGGAUUGGUUUAAAUAAAGAUAAAAGGAAAUACUUGAUUACACAGCAGACACUGGACUUCUGGAAUUCCCUACCAAAGAAGCUCAUAAAGGGAAAGGUGGCUAUUGCUCAGUUCUUGCAGCUCAAAAAUAAUCUUCUCAAAGCUCUACAUCACCAGUGUAAUGCACCAAAUCCACAAGGACACAAGGUCACAGAGAGCCUGAACCUGAAUCCGUGGGCUGAGUUACAUCUCCUGCCUGUGUCAUUCUUCGAGUAGCACUGUGACUGACAGCCUCAGGCAAGACUGCAUUUCCAUUUUCAGCUAAAAUCUCAAGAAUUCUCAGAGACUUCUGCAGCAUCUUCUGAAGCUUACAGAAAGAAGUCUGAACAGUUACAGACUGCUUGGAUGGUUAAAUUAUCUUGCAUUUGGUGACAUUUUAGCAACAUAUCACAGGUGUAGAGGCUUUGGCCAGCUCAAAGAAAUACUUUUUUCAGAAGAAUACCUAACAUACAACACCCUUGGAAUGAAAUCUAAUAACUAGAUGAUACCAGACCAUCCCUUUCCUUAUGUUUAAAAAAAAAUCUCUUACAGAUAACAUCUCUUCAUAUUUAAU